GUAAAAAUAUUUUACUAAAAACUUACAGAAUAUUUACAAACAUUCCAAAAUAAAUUAAUUUUACCAAAAAAAGUCUUACAUUUGCAAAAAAUACUGAAUAAAUCAAGUCACUUUAAAGCAAUCAAAAUAUUGAGCCUAAUAUUUUUAUUACUUCUUUAUACACAUUUUCUAUUAAACUCCCUUUAAACCAAUAUUUUAUGAACUAAAAGAAAUAUUGGAAUAAAAAAAUUACAGUAUUGAAACAUAGAUAGUUCCUAAAAAUGCUCGUUAAAUAUUUAACAACUUUGUUUUAUUUUCUUUACAAAUACUUACACCAGAUUAUUUUUAUAUAUUUUUGUAUGUCAUGGAUGUCUCUAUUUAAGUUAAUAACAUUGAUUUAUAUUAAGUUAUAAAUAACAGUCUAUUCAAUAAAAGCCAAUCCACUAUGUAACAAGUCGGUUUCUGACCUCCAUGGGAGCCUCGUUCAGCAACUAUCGAGACUGUUGCUCUGAUUGGCUCCAUCUUCACACAUAUUCAAAAGUUUUGCAUCACUUUGUUUUAGUGUGAAAGAACUUUUCGAGGAAACAUCUUCAUUCAUUUUUUGGGGACUUGUUUGUCAAUGUUUUUCAUUGUAAAUCAUGACAUAUUUGCAAUACAAAAAUGUCUACUACAAGAAUAGCCUUUUCAAUGUGAUUAUUCUUAAGGCUAUUAUAUAUAAUUAUAAAAUAUUAUAUAUUGUUAAAUUCUAAAAAUGUAUGAGUUUGUGUAAUUGAGUUUGACCGUGCAAAAUAGUCGCUCUGGUUGAAAAGGAUCAUUUUCAAAGUUCCGUGGUUGAUAGAGUUGGUGUUUGGCAAAGUGAUGUGUCUCGAAUAUGGAAUUGCUAUCUCCAGACCAAUUCACUGAGCGAUUACCCAUGAAAGCGUAUUACCAGUCAAUGGCGUAUUACCAAUCAACAGCAUAUUCGCUAACAUAACUAUACAGCAAAAUCCUACUAUGGCAAUGUCAUCCUACAAAGAGAUGUGAAACAUGCCUUGGUACUUCGAAUAUUGCGAAAUGUUUGGUGUGACGUCGACCAGUUAGCCGAUUGCAAGGACCCAAGAACACGUAGCAUUGUCCGAAGAGUUUUGAAACUUGUCUGCAAUAUAAUUAAUAAUGCAACCUAUUAUUUCAUGUGGUGGAAAUAUACUUUUUAGAGAUUCGUAGUUUACUUUUUAAUGAAAAUUACUUUACUUCUUAUUAGAAUACUCUUUUAUGUUUGAAAGAAAUUAUUAUAAUAAAAAUAAAAUAAAAGAAUCAACUGUAAUUUUCUUCAAUAAAAACGAUCGUAGUGGCUCUGGUCUAGUCUUGAAAAAAAGCAGUUUAUUUUCGAACACUCAGAGUGAUGCAAAACUUUUGAAUUUAUGUGUACGUACUAUAACAAGUUUGCGUACUCAAAUAUAAAGUUGACUAUCUGGCUACUGAAUAGGCUGUGCUUGAAUGCAGAAUUUUCAAACAAAUUAUUCGGUAUUAAAUCUAAAUUGAUAUAUAUUUGUUAAUAAUUUCUAAACAAGAAAUGGUAAGUUUCAUUCGUGGGGGCAGUUGAGGAAUACGUAUUUAAAAUUACUCAGAAUUUCUUAAAAAUUCUGCAUUAAUUUUAUUUUUUUAUUCAAUUCUUUUAUACUGAGGCACAAUCUUAACAUUAUAUACAUCAUUACAUAACUACAUAUUAUACAAAUAGGACUAGAUCUUUUCAUUGAAAUUACAUUACGUAAUAAAUACAAAAAAUAUAUUCAACUUAUGAAUUACAUAUGAUUUGGUAAAAUCUAGCUGAAAAUGGUAAGUAAAUUGAAGUAAUCACGAUCUAAAGAGAAAGUUAAAAUAACAAAUUUAAAUGUCAGUAAUUUUAAAUGUCUUAUUUUGCACAGUUUCUUUGUCUAAUGUCUAAAAAAUGUAAAAUGUAAACUAUUCUUUAAUAAUUCCUAAUACUUUGCUAGAUACUUUUAUAUUAUUUAGAAAAAAAUCAUUAGUAUAAAACAACACAAAUCCAAUCUGUACUUUAAGAAUUAAUAUAUUAUUUUUUUACUACUUCCAAACAGUACAAACUAUAGCAGUAUUGUGGCAGUAUAGUAGUACCCCAGACAGCACAUAAUAUCUUAAAGACGUCUUUUUUAUAUCUUAAUUAGAUCUUAACGUCUAAAGACUAAAAUAAGACAACUUUUGGACAUCAUUUUAAAGAUAUUCAUAAGAUGACGAAAUAAAACAUCUUCAGGACGUCUCUAAAAUGACAUUAGAAAUUAUUAGAAAUUUUAAAUUUAAUUUUUUCUAUUUAUCUCGUUUUUUUUCUAGAGUAGGCGAUAAUCAUAAAAAAGGAGAGUAUAAUCUGGUUUAAUAUAACAGAAAUGUGGUAUAAUCUUAACAGAAAUAAAAACAUUAUCCUCAUAUAAUUUAUAGGCGCAAAUAUGACGAUUGACAGGCGUGACAGUUAUCUUCUGUGGUUGAUGUUGAUGUGAGGUUAUGUGAUCGAGAAUCUCUGGAAAACCUCGCUGAAAAUGUUUGUUCUUGUCGUUGUUGUGAGUUGUAAAAAGGCGCGCAAAACCGUUUGGGAAAGGGACGUGAUAUAAAGUUUCAUCGGAGAAUUUACCAAAAUUUCAUCAUUAAAGCUGAUCAAAGAAGUUAAAGCUGAUAUUGUAGGUAAGCCAGAUGCGCAUGAUAACACAUCUGAAGAUGUCCCUCCAGUGGUUGU
Long non-coding RNA from Sitophilus oryzae (rice weevil), 2701 nucleotides. RefSeq lists it as uncharacterized. The record is from RefSeq and is a predicted model, not a curated record. Lineage: Eukaryota; Metazoa; Arthropoda; Insecta; Coleoptera; Curculionidae. The transcript is spliced from 2 exons.